RNAcentral lists this ribosomal RNA (986 nucleotides) under uncultured fungus. RNAcentral's name for it is "eukaryotic LSU rRNA". The stretch from base 630 to 781 matches the Rfam family "5.8S ribosomal RNA". The record is from RNAcentral. Lineage: Eukaryota; Fungi.
GGUUAACGAAUUCGCCCUUCUUGGUCAUUUAGAGGAAGUAAAAGUGUAACAAGGUUUCCGUAGAAUAAGUCUCGGAGCAUAUGAUUCUUCCACAUGAAGCUUAUAGAAGCCUUUGCAGCCUGGCAACAGGUAGCCUUGCGACUUAAAUAAUAGGGCCUUAUGCAAGUCAGAGGGAGUAUCCUUCUGGCAACAAACCGAACUGACGGGGACACCUUAAAGCCUACUCCAUCAACCGACCCAGAAACCGGGUUGGGGCCCAUGUUAACAGCAUGGGGUAUGGUAAGAGAGAGCGGGAUGUUACAAUAGGUAAUCCGCAGCGAAGAUCCUAAGUGCAGCGCAACGGAUAACGUUCACAGACUAAGUGGUUGUGGGCACGGUAGAGACCGUGUUUAGAUAUAGUCGGGACCCUGGGGAGACCUAGGGAGUAAUAUCACUACUAUCCGUUCCGUAGGUGAACCUGCGGAAGGAUCAUUACAGAGUUCAUGCCUCACGGGUAGAUCUCCCACCCUUGAAUACUAUACCUUUGUUGCUUUGGGGGCCGCUUCGGCUACUGGCUCCAGCUAGUGAGUGCCCGCCAAAGGAUCUAAAACUCUGAAUAUUUGUGUCGUCUGAGUACUAUGUAAUAGUUAAAACUUCAACAACGGAUCUCUUGGUUCUGGCAUCGAUGAAGAACGCAGCGAAAGCGAUAAGUAAUGUGAAUUGCAGAAUUCAGUGAAUCAUCGAAUCUUUGACGCACAUUGCGCCCCUUGGUAUUCCGAGGGGCAUGCCCGUUCGAGCGUCUUAUAACCCCUCAAGCCCAGCUUGGUGUUGGGGCCUGCUGUUACCGGCACCCUUAAAAUCAGUGGCGGUGCCAUCUGGCUCUAAGCGUAGUAAUACUUUCGCUACAGGGUCCUGGUGGAUGCUUGCCAUCAACCCCUAAAUUUCUAUGUUGACCUCGGAUCGGGUAGGGAUACCCGCUGAACUUAAGCAUAUCAAUAGCGGAGGAA